GAAAUGCGAUACUUGGUGUGAAUUGCAGAAUCCUGUGAACGAUCGAGUCUUUGAAUGCAAGUUAUGCCCGAAGCCAUUAGGUUGAGGGCACGUCUGCCUGGGCGUCUCACGUUGCGUCGCCCAUACCCCCUCCCCCAAGAAGGGAAGGGUUGCAGGCGGAUGUUGGCCCGCACAAGCGCGCCCGCGCGCGGUUGCCCUAAAAAUGAGUCCCCCGUAACAGACGACGUGUCGCGACGAGUGUUGGUUGACAAACCGUUGGAUCGCCUCACGCGCGUCCGAGUCAUCGCUGGAGGUUUGUUAUGACCCUAUCGCGCCACUGCCAAGGUGCUCCGAUCACGACCCCAGGUCAGGCAAGAUUACCCACUGAGUUUAA
This 373-nucleotide unclassified non-coding RNA is filed under the name uncultured fungus. Its description in RNAcentral is "sequence contains ITS1". The stretch from base 1 to 107 matches the Rfam family "5.8S ribosomal RNA", at positions 50 to 154 of the family's 154-position model. Lineage: Eukaryota; Fungi. The record is from RNAcentral.